RNAcentral lists this ribosomal RNA (206 nucleotides) under uncultured bacterium. RNAcentral's name for it is "partial 16S ribosomal RNA". It matches the Rfam family "Bacterial small subunit ribosomal RNA", at positions 568 to 774 of the family's 1533-position model. The record is from RNAcentral.
CGCGUAGGCGGUGAGAUGUGUGUGAUGUGAAAGCCCCGGGCUUAACCUGGGAAGUGCAUCGCAAACUAUCUGACUGGAGUAUAUGAGAGGGUGGCGGAAUUUCCGGUGUAGCGGUGAAAUGCGUAGAGAUCGGAAGGAACGUCAAUGGCGAAGGCAGCCACCUGGCAUAAUACUGACGCUGAGGCGCGAAGGCGUGGGAACGAACA